Molecule: ribosomal RNA, 465 nt
Filed under: uncultured bacterium
Lineage: Bacteria
Description: bacterial SSU rRNA
Rfam family: Bacterial small subunit ribosomal RNA
Source: RNAcentral
GACGACGCUGGCGGCGUGCCUAACACAUGCAAGUCGAACGGGGGUAUUAUUUCGAUGAAUACCUUAGUGGCGAACGGGUGAGUAACGCGUGAGCAACCUAUCCUUAAGAGGGGGAUAACAUCUGGAAACAGAUGCUAAUACCGCAUAAGACCACACUGCCGCAUGGCAGAGGGGUCAAAGGAGCAAUCCGUUUAAGGAGGGGCUCGCGUCCCAUUAGAUAGUUGGUGAGGUAACAGCUCACCAAGUCAGCGAUGGGUAGCCGAGCUGAGAGGCUGAUCGGCCACACUGGAACUGAGACACGGUCCAGACUCCUACGGGAGGCAGCAGUGGGGAAUAUUGGGCAAUGGGGGGAACCCUGACCCAGCAACGCCGCGUGAGGGAAGAAGGCCUUCGGGUUGUAAACCUCUGUCAUUAGGGAAGAAGAAAGUGACGGUACCUAAUGAGGAAGCCCCGGCUAACUACGUG